RNAcentral lists this ribosomal RNA (253 nucleotides) under uncultured bacterium. RNAcentral's name for it is "partial 16S ribosomal RNA". It matches the Rfam family "Bacterial small subunit ribosomal RNA", at positions 524 to 776 of the family's 1533-position model. The record is from RNAcentral.
GACAGAGGUUGCAAACGUUGUUCGGAAUUACUGGGCAUAAAGCGCACGUAGGCGGUUCGUUAAGUCAUGUGUGAAAUCCCCCGGCUCAACCGGGGAAUUGCGCCUGAUACUGGCGGGCUAGAGAUCGAUAGGGGUGAGCGGAACUCCAGGUGGAGCGGUGAAAUGCGUAGAUAUCUGGAGGAACACCGGUGGCGAAAGCGGCUCUCUGGAACGGUACUGACGCUGAGACGCGAAAGCGUGGGGAGCGAACAGG